GGGUGCGAUCAUACCAGCAAUAAUGCACCGGAUCCCAUCAGAACUCCGCAGUUAAAUGUGUUUGGGCGAGAGUAGUACUAGGAUGGGUGACCUCCUGGGAAGUCCUCGUGUUGCACCCC
Molecule: non-coding RNA, 119 nt
Organism: Populus trichocarpa (black cottonwood)
Lineage: Eukaryota; Viridiplantae; Streptophyta; Magnoliopsida; Malpighiales; Salicaceae
Source: Rfam